GACGAACGCUGGCGGCGUGCCUAAUACAUGCAAGUAGAACGCUGAAGGAGGAGCUUGCUUCUCUGGAUGAGUUGCGAACGGGUGAGUAACGCGUAGGUAACCUGCCUGGUAGCGGGGGAUAACUAUUGGAAACGAUAGCUAAUACCGCAUAAUAGUAGAUGUUGCAUGACAUUUGCUUAAAAGGUGCAAUUGCAUCACUACCAGAUGGACCUGCGUUGUAUUAGCUAGUUGGUGGGGUAACGGCUCACCAAGGCGACGAUACAUAGCCGACCGGAGAGGGGGGUCGGCCACACUGGGACGGUGACAGGGCCCAGACGCCUACGGGAGGCAGCAGGAGUGAAUCGUCGGCAAGGGACGGAAGGCUGACCGAGAAACGCCGCGGGAGGGAAGAAGGUUGUCGGAUCGUAAAGCUCGGUUGUAAGAGAAGAACGAGUGUGAGAGUGGAAAGUUCACACUGUGACGGUAACUGACCAGAAAGGGACGGCUAACUACGUG
Molecule: ribosomal RNA, 495 nt
Filed under: uncultured bacterium
Lineage: Bacteria
Description: partial 16S ribosomal RNA
Rfam family: Bacterial small subunit ribosomal RNA
Source: RNAcentral